This 973-nucleotide ribosomal RNA is filed under the name uncultured bacterium. Its description in RNAcentral is "bacterial SSU rRNA". The stretch from base 1 to 775 matches the Rfam family "Bacterial small subunit ribosomal RNA". The record is from RNAcentral.
AGUGACGCUGGCGGCGUGGCUCAGACAUGCAGUCGAGCGAGAAUAUGCCUUCGGGUAUAGGAAGCGGCAACGGGUGAGUAAUACGUAAGUAAUCUGCCUCUAAAACGGGAAUAGCUUGGUGAAAGCUGAGGUAAUGCCCGAUACCAACUUGUUUCGCAUGAAACAAGUUUGAAAGGUUUGUAAUGACGUUUAGAGAGGAGCUUGCGGCCUAUCAGCUUGUUGGCGGUGUAAUAGACCACCAAGGCUAAGACGGGUAGCCGGUCUAAGAGGAUGUACGGCCACAUUGAAACUGAGAUACGGUUCAACAUCUACGGAUGGCAGCAGUUUCGAAUUAUUCACAAUGGGCGAAAGCCUGAUGGUGCGACGCCGCGUGGAGGAUGACGUCUUCGGAUUGUAAACUCCUGUCGUUGGGGAGUAAAAGCUGGUGAAGAUCAGCCUGAGUUAACCCAAAGAGGAAGCAGUGGCAACUCCGUGCCAGCAGCCGCGGUAAUACGAGACUGCUAGCGUACUCGAUUUACUGGGCGUAAAGGCUGCGCAGCCGUUUGUGUGUUGGGUUUGUAAGCUAUGACUUAAUUAUAGUAAGGCUCAAACUGCAUAACUAGAGUCUCGGAGGGUAGCGGAUUCAGGGUAGUAUUGAAUGCUAAAUUCUGGAAAACCCCAAGGCAUGCAGCUACUGGACGAAACUGACGCUCAGGCCAAACCGUGGGGAGGAAGAUAAUCCUUGGAGUCCAGCCGUCCUUGACCUACUGGCGUGCAUCGGUCGAUCAGCUACGUAUGUACCUGAGAACUCACCCAGGUAACUAAGAUAGCGGACCCACCGUGGACUGGCUAUAUCUGACGCGGGACUUCUAUCUUGCAGUAGAGAGCGGAUGAAGUUCUUGGCUCUCACCGUGUGGUGUUCGCACUCUGCGGAUGCUGUAUCGGCAGGACGCUUUCAUAUUCGUGUGUCUGAUAAUAUAGUUGAAUGCAUAGC